This 2977-nucleotide long non-coding RNA is filed under the name Nicotiana tabacum (common tobacco). RNAcentral describes it as "long non-coding RNA (NTAB_LNC012258)". The record is from RNAcentral. Lineage: Eukaryota; Viridiplantae; Streptophyta; Magnoliopsida; Solanales; Solanaceae.
AAUGUAAAGUGCAAAUAUUAAAUGACACAAGAUAUUUUAAUACUGGUUCGGAUUCAAUGUGAAUCCUACACUAGUCCCAUUGGGUUGCAAGUGGGUUCUCUCUUCAAAUCUUCUUGAAAAUUUCGUACAAGUGUGUUGAUGCUAUCACGAACACCAACUGCCUUUUAGUUCUAAGUACACCCGUUGUAUUUUCAAUACAAUGCCUCACCAAUAUUUUUCUCUAUUUCUUCUCUCUACUAGUUACAUAGUAAAUCACACUCAUAUUACAAUGCUUGCUUAGAGUAGAACAAAGAGCACGAAGUUGGUACGAUCAAAGUAGAUCUCUCCUCUUGGCCGUUUUGCAAUAUAUACACCUUGAGAAAUCUGCUUUGAAUUGAUUGUGGCAAAUUUGAGAGAUUGCAGUCUCAGGGAAAUUGAUCCUUGGAAUGAAUUAAGAAUUGAUUCUUUCCAAGAAUAAGUGUGGAGCCUCCUUGAUUUGAGUCUUGAUCAGCGAGCUUGAUAGAAUCUUCCAUCUGUGAGCGAGUCCUAUUUCAACGAACAACCUUUUAUUUGUCCUUUGAUUUUGGAGUUCAACAAUUUUUUUUUAAUGACCAAAUCCUCAGUUCUUUAAUAGCUAUGACAGGCAGAUUCUUAGCAGUCUUGAACUCCUCUGAUUUUGGACCUUCCUUUCUUAUCUUCCUUCGCAUGGGCUAUCAGAUCAUUGGAGAUCUUUUUCUUCUUUCCCUUUAUUCCUUCCUUUCUCGUCUUUCUUCGUAUAUCUUUGGCUAUCUUACUUGUCCUUUCCUUUGUUCCUAGAAUAUACCUGCAAAUAGAAAUAUAUUAUUUUUCAUCAUUGAAACUUAGAUCUAACAUAAACUACCUUAGAAACCCGAAAAAUAAAAGAAACAUGCCGUCAAUAUUUUGAAAAAAUAGUAGAAACUAUUUCCAAAAUUGUAAAAAAAUAUCGUAUUCAUAUUAGAAUUUUGCUAAAAAAUAUUGAAAACCUUUCAUGGAUUAUAGAUGCCUUCAAUAAUAGCAAAUAAUAUCCAAAUCACACAUAAUGAUCUACCAAGAUCGUUUUCUGAUAUCAAUUGUAGAAAAAAAUAAUUUCAUCCACACAAUAUCACAAGCAAAUCAUUAACAAAGAUAUAAAUCUAGAAUAAUGGUUAAGAACACUAAGCUUGAUCCAUUGCAGAAUAUUUGAUUGAAGGAGGCAAAUCUUUUAAGUCGUGCACAUUAUUUAAUACGUUGUACUUUUCAGAGAUGAGAAAGAAAAUAGAAAGUGUGUGACUUUAGAGACCACACACCUUUUAUAGAAAUUAGUGUCUUUUCAUGCAAGGUGCCUUUUCGUCCAUCAAACAUAAAUAAAAAGGAAUAACUGAUUUUUCUUAGGCCCUUAUAAUUUAAUACUUUAUUACAUCAUAAAAUUGAGCUCCUUUAAUUGACAAUAUAUCUAUGUACAAUAUAUAAUAAUAUGUGAUGUGAGUCUAUAUAGAAGAAAGUUAGUAGCAAUAGGCAAAAGACUUCGUUCUUUUAGGAAACCAAGUGUCCUUUUGAUAUUUCUCCAAUAAUCACUACUUGGAUUAUGAGUAUAUCCUUAUUAUUUUCAAAUUAAACAGCAAUAUUGAUAUUCGUUUUAGUGCAAUACAUACCAUACAAUAUAGUUUCAAUUACAAUAGUAUAAUCUAAUUGACAAAAAAAAAUUCAAAUUUUUAUUAAUUUUAUUGGAACAUCUAAUUGAGUAUUAAAUUUUAUUAUACCCAAAUGAUUUAAUAUAAUAGAAAGAACCUUUUUCCACUAUAGUGAUAUUUUCGUAUAACAAAACUCCCACUAUAUAUUAACUUUGACACAUAAGAUAGCAUCAAUUUCUCGCAGGCCUUUCAUAUUAAAAUGGUACGAGAGAAUACUGAAAAAACUCAAAAAGUUAAUUCUUGGUUAACUGGGUCAAAACCCGAGACCUAAUACCUUUUCCUGCUAUCCAAGAUCUAACUAGUCCAAAUAUAUAUAUGUGCUCAUGUUCUAAAUUCCAGUUCGUCUGGUUACUUAAAUCCUUGUUUUUUUUUAUUUAGGGUUUUGGAGUUAAAGUCUAUAAUUCUAUGUCUAAUCCCAUGAAUUUGAUGAUAAAAAUUUGGAUUAAAGCAUUUAAAUAAUCCAUAUGUAGUUUUAGAAUACUUACCCUGACGAUUCGUGUUGAUCCCCUUCAAAAUUUUACAAACUCAUGACCUAGAACCGGCAAAACUUGAAAAAUAUAAGGAGUAAUAGUUCAACGAGCUCUUAUUCGUCCUUGGCGAACCUGUAUACUCUUGUCAUGUUAGGUAUAAAGUCAAGUCUCGAGUUCUUAUUUAGAAUUCUCGUAUAUUCAGUUCAAACGAGAGUUUUAAUGCAAUUCAAAUUGACAAGCAGUAGUGACAACCGCAUAAGAAAUGUGGGGAGGACAGAACAAAAUUUUGAAUUCCCAGAUUUUCUUUGCAAAUAGACCAAUCAAUGGUGUUCUAUCGAUAACAAGAUUCAGUCGCUACAAGCACACGGCGGAAUACUCCUAAGGUUUGGUUUUAGUGAGUUAGGUUUAGUGAUUUGGGUGGAUUUAUAUUUAUACUUGUCUCCUUCUGUUACUAUUACAUAACCUCCUUGAAACAAGGGCCUAAGAAGCAUCUGACAGGUUGGAAUUCUUACCUUCUUAGGACUCCAUGGACUAGAUUCUCUACUAUACCGGAGAAGUGUGCUGGCUAACCCUCUGCUAUCGGCUCCCUUGCCGUGAUCACGGAGAAGGUGUGGGGCUAACUCUUCCCUAUCGAAGUCUGUGUUUUAACACUCAAGGUAGUCCUCUGCGAUUGCGGAGUCCCUACUGUUAUCACAAAUAAGUGGGGUGGCUAGCCCUCCGCUAUUGUGGUUCCCUCACCAAUAUCGCAAAGAAGAGGCCGCCCUAACUCUUUGCUAUCACGGGUCCCUUACCGCGAUUGUAGAGAAGGAGUCGGGCUACCUCUCAGCUAUCGUGGCC